CAAGCAUGUGGCUUCUCUCAUGAUAUAAAUCAAUGAACGAGUUCUCAAAACGAGAGUUGUUAAGUACAUUGUGUGGCGAAUUCUUUAAAGCUUACCUGAAUUAUAUCAUCAAAUAUGGAGAAACACCCACCUCCAUACCAGCCCUAUGAAGGGACGGGAUCACCCCCACAAGCAUAUGCACAACCCCUACAAGGACAUGGACCACCACCCCAGGGGUACGAACCACCACCACACCAGGGGUACGGGCCACCAUCACCCCAGGGAUACGGAACACCACCCCAGGGAUACAGACCAUUACCCCAGGGAUACGGACCACCACCCCAGGGAUACAGACCACUACCCCAAGGUUACGGACCACCACCCCAGGGAUACGGACCACCACCCCAGGGAUACCGGCCACUUCAGCCCUACCCUCCUCCGAUGAUGCAGCAGCAAAGAAGUACCAACGUCGUUGUUGUCGGCGGUGGUGCUGCGCAACAGACUGUUGUAGUUCAGCAGAGAGAGACCGUCAAUCACUGCCUUCACUGCUGUAUCUCCAUAUUCUUCCCACCGUGGAUUUUUGUGUGGAUAUGUCUGUGUAUAUGUUACGACUGCUAAACAACGCGAAUCAACACUGCAGCCACUGGCUGUGAUGGGCUAGACGUUUUGCAUGAUGCCUGAACGGAAUAUCUGCGAUUACAUUAUAACACCCCAAUGUGACGAAAUGAUAACA
This 712-nucleotide unclassified non-coding RNA is filed under the name Haliotis rubra (blacklip abalone). RNAcentral's name for it is "postacrosomal sheath WW domain-binding protein-like, transcript variant X2". The record is from RNAcentral. Lineage: Eukaryota; Metazoa; Mollusca; Gastropoda; Lepetellida; Haliotidae.